This 73-nucleotide transfer RNA is filed under the name Toxocara canis (dog roundworm). It matches the Rfam family "tRNA". Rfam says of the family: Transfer RNA (tRNA) molecules are approximately 80 nucleotides in length. Their secondary structure includes four short double-helical elements and three loops (D, anti-codon, and T loops). Lineage: Eukaryota; Metazoa; Nematoda; Chromadorea; Rhabditida; Toxocaridae. The record is from Rfam by way of RNAcentral.
GCCUUCGUAGCUCAGUCGGUAGGUCGUCAGACUUUUAAUCUGAGGGUCGUGGGUUGGAGUCGCACAGAGGGCG